GACGAACGCUGGCGGCGUGCUUCAUACAUGCAAGUCGAACGAGAAUCUAACUUCGGUUAGAGGAAAGUGGCGGACGGGUGAGUAAUAUGUAGAGAAUCUGCCCUUGAGAGGGGGACAACAGAGGGAAACUUCUGCUAAUACCCCAUAUGAGCGUAGCUGAAAUGCUAUUCUUGAAAACUCCGGUGCUCAAGGAUGAGUCUGCAUCUGAUUAGCUAGUUGGCGGUGUAAUGGACCACCAAGGCGACGAUCAGUAGCUGAUUUGAGAGGAUGAUCAGCCACAAUGGGACUGAGACACGGCCCAUACUCCUACGGGAGGCAGCAGUAGGGAAUUUUGCGCAAUGGGGCGAAAGCCUGACGCAGCAACGCCGCGUGAACGAGAAGCCCUUCGGGGGUGUAAAGUUCUGUCAGUAGGGACGAACGAUGACGGUACCUACAGAGGAAGCACCGGCUAACUCCGUGCCAGCAGCCGCGGU
This 473-nucleotide ribosomal RNA is filed under the name uncultured bacterium. Its description in RNAcentral is "bacterial SSU rRNA". It matches the Rfam family "Bacterial small subunit ribosomal RNA", at positions 28 to 521 of the family's 1533-position model. The record is from RNAcentral.